GCGAGUCCUUGAACUGGGCAUCCAUGUAUUGAAAUUCACUCCUCCCUCUCCCUGUCCAACCCCUACCCUCUGCAAGAAGUCUCUACAGGUUUCUAAGCCGCUCUGCACACCUGAGACCAAGCAGAUUGCUGCAACCAAACGAACUCCGUUGCUCCCAGCAGUGAAUCCCAGAGACAUGAAAACUGAGCCUAAGCAACCAUUUCCCCGAGAUCACACAGUCGGUCUAAGUUGUGGUUUGACCUCUGAGAAUCUGUCCAGAGUCUGUGCUCGUACCGACGACUUAAGAGCUCCAGAAUGAUAAUGGACAGAACAGCAGCUA
Molecule: long non-coding RNA, 319 nt
Organism: Leopardus geoffroyi (Geoffroy's cat)
Lineage: Eukaryota; Metazoa; Chordata; Mammalia; Carnivora; Felidae
Exons: 3
Source: RefSeq, a predicted model, not a curated record